GAGUUUGAUCCUGGCUCAGAACGUACGCUGGCGGCACGCCUAACACAUGCAAGUCGAACGAAGUAGCAAUACUUAGUGGCAGACGGGUGAGUAACAUGUAGGUAUCAACCCUUUGGCCUGGAAUAACACGAGGAAACUUGUGCUAAUACCGGAUAAGUCUUUACAGAGAAAGCUUUAUGCACCAUUGGAUGAGCCUGCACUUGAUUAGUUUGUUGGUAGGGUAAUGGCCUACCAAGACUGUGAUCAAUAGCUGAUUUGAGAGGAUGAUCAGCCACAUUGGGACUGAGACACGGCCCAAACUCCUACGGGAGGCAGCAGUGGGGAAUCUUGCACAAUGGAGGAAACUCUGAUGCAGCGAUGCCGCGUGAGUGAAGAAGGCCUUUGGGUUGUAAAGCUCUUUCGUCGGGGAAGAAAAUGACUGUACCCGAAUAAGAAGGUCCGGCUAACUUCGUGCCAGCAGCCGCGGUAAUACGAAGGGACCUAGCGUAGUUCGGAAUUACUGGGCUUAAAGAGUUCGUAGGUGGUUGAAAAAGUUGGUGGUGAAAUCCCAGAGCUUAACUCUGGAACUGCCAUCAAAACUUUUCAGCUAGAGUAUGAUAGAGGAAAGCAGAAUUUCUAGUGUAGAGGUGAAAUUCGUAGAUAUUAGAAAGAAUACCAAUUGCGAAGGCAGCUUUCUGGAUCAUUACUGACACUGAGGAACGAAAGCAUGGGUAGCGAAGAGGAUUAGAUACCCUCGUAGUCCAUGCCGUAAACGAUGUGUGUUAGACGUUGGAAAUUUAUUUUCAGUGUCGCAGCGAAAGCGAUAAACACACCGCCUGGGGAGUACGACCGCAAGGUUAAAACUCAAAUGAAUUGACGGGGACCCGCACAAGUAGUGGAGCAUGUGGUUUAAUUNGAAGAUACGCGCAGAACCUUACCAACACUUGACAUGUUCGUCGCGACUCUAAGAGAUUAGAGUUUUCGGUUCGGCCGGACGAAACACAGGUGCUGCAUGGCUGUCGUCAGCUCGUGUCGUGAGAUGUUGUGUUAAGUCCCGCAACGAGCGCAACCCUCACUUUUAGUUGCCAUCAUUAAGUUGGGCACUCUGAAAGAACUGCCAGUGAUAAGCUGGAGGAAGGUGGGGAUGACGUCAAGUCCUCAUGGCCCUUACGUGUUGGGCUACACACGUGCUACAAUGGUAUNUACAACAGGAAGCAAGACGGCGACGUCAAGCAAAUCCUUAAAAGAUACCUCAGUUCGGAUUGCACUCUGCAACUCGAGUGCAUGAAGCUGGAAUUACUAGUAAUCGUGGAUCAGCGUGCCACGGUGAAUGCGUUCCCGGGUCUUGUACUCACCGCCCGUC
Molecule: ribosomal RNA, 1342 nt
Filed under: uncultured marine bacterium
Lineage: Bacteria
Description: bacterial SSU rRNA
Rfam family: Bacterial small subunit ribosomal RNA
Source: RNAcentral